This 333-nucleotide ribosomal RNA is filed under the name Triticum aestivum (bread wheat). RNAcentral describes it as "partial small subunit ribosomal RNA". The record is from RNAcentral. Lineage: Eukaryota; Viridiplantae; Streptophyta; Magnoliopsida; Poales; Poaceae.
AUGAGAAAAAUUGCAGGGAUCUUUGUAUAUAUUACCUUGAAGAAACUGUGCCAGCUUAUCGAGGUUGCCGGCGGUGAGCUUGUGGAGAUCCUCGCCGGCCCAGACAGGGAAGACGAAGAUGGUGGUGCAGAGGCAGGUAAGGACGCCGAUGACGAUGGUGGAGAAGCGCUGGUGUGCCAGCUGAAUAAGCUCCUCCACGCGGUAGCUCGACACGGCCACCAGGCUGAAGGUGAGUAUGAAGAUGGUCACGCCGUAGUCGUACCUCGCCUUGAUCUCCGGGAUGAAGCGCGAGAACGUUGCCGCCGACGCUUCAAUAUAACCAAGUUACGUUAG